CCUACGGGUGGCAGCAGUCAGGAAUAUUGGUCAAUGGACGAGAGUCUGAACCAGCCAAGUAGCGUGAAGGAUGACUGCCCUAUGGGUUGUAAACUUCUUUUAUAAAGGAAUAAAACGAGGCACGUGUGCCUUUUUGCAUGUACUUUAUUAAUAAGGAUCGGCUAACUCCGUGCCAGCAGCCGCGGUAAUACGGAGGGACCGGGCGUUAUCCGGAUUGAUUGGGUUUAAAGGGAGCGUAGAUGGGUUGUUAAGUCAGUUGUGAAAGUUUGCGGCUCAACCGUAAAAUUGCAAUUGAUACUGGCAGUCUUGAGUACAGUUGAGGUAGGCGGAAUUCGCGGUGUAGCGGUGAAAUGCUUAGAUAUCGCGAAGAACACCGAUUGCGAAGGCAGGUUACUAAACUGUGACUGACAUUGAUGCACGAAAGUGUGGGUAUCAAAAAGGAUUAGAUACCCCAGUAGUC
This 460-nucleotide ribosomal RNA is filed under the name uncultured bacterium. Its description in RNAcentral is "partial 16S ribosomal RNA". It matches the Rfam family "Bacterial small subunit ribosomal RNA", at positions 338 to 795 of the family's 1533-position model. The record is from RNAcentral.